UUAAUACUUCCUCCGUCUUAAAAUCCUGUCUUAGAUUUGUCUAAAUACGGAUGUAUCAAGUCAUGUUUUAGUAUUACAUACAUCCCUAUCUAGGCAAAUCUAAGACAAGAAUUUUGAGACGGAGGGAGUAAUUA
Non-coding RNA from Triticum aestivum (bread wheat), 134 nucleotides. NCBI's taxonomy places the organism in Eukaryota, Viridiplantae, Streptophyta, Magnoliopsida, Poales, Poaceae. The record is from Rfam.